GUUAAACCUGUCAUGGAAGAUCUCCUUCAUUAAGUUCAGAUGAGAAAAAGAACUGUGAGGGAUUAACUAAUAUGUUCAAGAACAUUUAAAAGCCUGGUCAGCUACAGCAGCUGGCAAAACCGUCUGCUGGACUUCACUGCAUCAGUCAUGCUUCUAUCACUGUUCAGGGUCUCGGAGCUGGACUCUAAUGUUUCAACCAACAAGUUGGGCCUUCCAUGUUUGAAUUAGGAACCAGAGGGGCCUUUUCCCUGAAUAUGCAGAUCUGUCUGUGAUGCCAUUUUAACUGGAUGUCUACGCUGAGAAGAGACUCUGCCAAGUGGUGGUAUUCAAAGAGGAUUAAUGCCAAGGCCAGAAGAUGGCAAGGAAGGCUGUUCUUUGGGAAUCAAGGAUGAUUGAAAUAGCUGAUGAAGCCAAUGCAUUGAUCUGCAGACUCUUUCACAGAUGAGGCAGAAGAUACCUGAUGUAACAGGCAGAUGAUCCUCGGUGAUGGUCUUGUCCGUUAUACCUCUAAAUGGACGGAAUCCACAUUGUAAUUCAGAAAGCAGCCCUUUGGCCACUGGGAUGAGGUGAUUAAGAAGGACCUGGUAAUGACUCUCCCUGUGGCACACAGCAGGGAGACCCUUGCAAAGUUACCACAGUUGAAUGUGUCUCCA
Long non-coding RNA from Pristis pectinata (smalltooth sawfish), 653 nucleotides. RefSeq lists it as uncharacterized. The transcript is spliced from 5 exons. The record is from RefSeq and is a predicted model, not a curated record. NCBI's taxonomy places the organism in Eukaryota, Metazoa, Chordata, Chondrichthyes, Rhinopristiformes, Pristidae.